RNAcentral lists this long non-coding RNA (678 nucleotides) under Salmo salar (Atlantic salmon). Its description in RNAcentral is "lncRNA (ENSSSAG00000090285.1)". Lineage: Eukaryota; Metazoa; Chordata; Actinopteri; Salmoniformes; Salmonidae. The record is from RNAcentral.
GUAGAGGUGGCAGGUAGCCUAGUGGUUAGAGUGUAGAGGUGGCAGGUAGCCUAGUGGUUAGAGAGUAGAGGUGGCAGGUAGCCUAGUGGUUAGAGAGUAGAGGUGGCAGGUAGCCUAGUGGUUAGAGUGUAGAGGUGGCAGGUAGCCUAGUGGUUAGAGAGUAGAGGCGGCAGGUAGCCUAGUGGUUAGAGUGUAGAGGUGGCAGGUAGCCUAGUGGUUAGAGUGUAGAGGUGGCAGGUAGCCUAGUGGUUAGAGUGUAGAGGUGGCAGGUAGCCUAGUGGUUAGAGAGUUGGGCCAGUAACAGAAAGGUUGCUAGAUUGAAUCCCCAAGCUGACAAGGUAACAAUUUGUCGUUCUGCCUCUGGACAUGGCAGUUAACCCACUGUUCCUAGACCAUCAUUUGAAGUAAGAAUUUGUUCUUAACUGACUUGUCUGGUUAAAUGAAAUAAUUUUUUUUUUGUUAUCUCAACCAGCUUCACCUGGAAUGCUUUUCCAACAGUCUUGAAGGAGUUCCCACAUAUGCUGAGCACUUGUUGGCUGCUUUUCCUUCACUCUGCGGUCCAACUCAUCCCAAACCAUCUCAAUUGGGUUGAGGUCUGGUGAUUGUGGAGGCCAUUUCAUCUGAUGCAGCACUCCAUCACUCUCCUUCUUGGUCAAAUAGCCCUUACGCAGCCUGGAG